RNAcentral lists this ribosomal RNA (556 nucleotides) under uncultured Geobacteraceae bacterium. RNAcentral's name for it is "bacterial SSU rRNA". It matches the Rfam family "Bacterial small subunit ribosomal RNA", at positions 9 to 541 of the family's 1533-position model. The record is from RNAcentral. Lineage: Bacteria; Pseudomonadati; Thermodesulfobacteriota; Desulfuromonadia; Geobacterales; Geobacteraceae.
GAGUUUGAUCCUGGCUCAGAACGAACGCUGGCGGCGUGCUUAACACAUGCAAGUCGAACGUGAUCCAGAGCUUGCUCUGGUGAAAGUGGCGCACGGGUGAGUAACGCGUGGAUAACCUGCCCUGGUAUCUGGGAUAACAUCUCGAAAGGGGUGCUAAUACCGGAUAAGCCUACGGGAUCUUCGGAUUCUGCAGGAAAAGGAGGCCUCUAUUUAUAAGCUUCCGUAUCAUGAUGGGUCCGCGUACCAUUAGCUAGUUGGUGGGGUAAUGGCCUACCAAGGCGACGAUGGUUAGCUGGUCUGAGAGGAUGAUCAGCCACACUGGAACUGAGACACGGUCCAGACUCCUACGGGAGGCAGCAGUGGGGAAUUUUGCGCAAUGGGGGAAACCCUAACGCAGCAACGCCGCGUGAGUGAUGAAGGCUUUCGGGUCGUAAAGCUCUGUCAGAGGGGAAGAAAUGAAACGUGCUAAUAUCACGUUUUCUUGACGGUACCCUCAAAGGAAGCACCGGCUAACUCCGUGCCAGCAGCCGCGGUAAUACAAGGGCSYYYYCGGCAR